RNAcentral lists this ribosomal RNA (806 nucleotides) under uncultured Pelagibacteraceae bacterium. RNAcentral describes it as "bacterial SSU rRNA". It matches the Rfam family "Bacterial small subunit ribosomal RNA", at positions 33 to 887 of the family's 1533-position model. The record is from RNAcentral. Lineage: Bacteria; Pseudomonadati; Pseudomonadota; Alphaproteobacteria; Candidatus Pelagibacterales; Candidatus Pelagibacteraceae.
ACGCUGGCGGCACGCCUUAUACAUGCAAGUCGAACGAAGUAGCAAUACUUAGUGGCAGACGGGUGAGUAACAUGUAGGUAUCUUCCCUUUGGUGAGGAAUAACACGAGGAAACUUGUGCUAAUACCUCAUAAGUCUUUACGGAGAAAGCUUUAUGCGCCAUUGGAUGAGCCUGCACUUGAUUAGUUUGUUGGUGGGGUAAUGGCCUACCAAGACUGUGAUCAAUAGCUGAUCUGAGAGGAUGAUCAGCCACAUUGGGACUGAGACACGGCCCAAACUCCUACGGGAGGCAGCAGUAGGGAAUAUUGCACAAUGGAGGAAACUCUGAUGCAGCGAUGCCGCGUGAGUGAAGAAGGCCUUUGGGUUGUAAAGCUCUUUCGUCGGGGAAGAAAAUGACUGUACCCGAAUAAGAAGGUCCGGCUAACUUCGUGCCAGCAGCCGCGGUAAUACGAAGGGACCUAGCGUAGUUCGGAAUUACUGGGCUUAAAGAGUUCGUAGGUUGUUAAAAAAGUUGGUGGUGAAAUCCCAGAGCUCAACUCUGGAACUGCCAUCAAAACUUUUUAGCUAGAGUAUGAUAGAGGAAAGCAGAAUUUCUAGUGUAGAGGUGAAAUUCGUAGAUAUUAGAAAGAAUACCAAUUGCGAAGGCAGCUUUCUGGAUCAUUACUGACGCUGAGGAACGAAAGCAUGGGUAGCGAAGAGGAUUAGAUACCCUCGUAGUCCAUGCCGUAAACGAUGUGUGUUAGACGUUGGAAAUUUAUUUUCAGUGUCGCAGCGAAAGCAGUAAACACACCGCCUGGGGAGUACGACC